This 489-nucleotide ribosomal RNA is filed under the name uncultured bacterium. RNAcentral's name for it is "bacterial SSU rRNA". It matches the Rfam family "Bacterial small subunit ribosomal RNA", at positions 29 to 525 of the family's 1533-position model. The record is from RNAcentral.
AUUGAACGCUGGCGGCAUGCCUUACACAUGCAAGUCGAACGGUAACAGGCCGCAAGGUGCUGACGAGUGGCGAACGGGUGAGUAAUGUAUCGGAACGUGCCCAGUCGUGGGGGAUAACUGCUCGAAAGAGCAGCUAAUACCGCAUACGACCUGAGGGUGAAAGCGGGGGAUCGCAAGACCUCGCGCGAUUGGAGCGGCCGAUAUCAGAUUAGCUAGUUGGUGGGGUAAAGGCCUACCAAGGCAACGAUCUGUAGUUGGUCUGAGAGGACGACCAGCCACACUGGGACUGAGACACGGGCCAGACUCCUACGGGAGGCAGCAGUAAGGAAUAUUGCGCAAUGGGCGAAAGCCUGACGCAGCGACGCCGCGUGGGGGAUGAAGGUCUUCGGAUUGUAAACCCUUUCGGGAGGGAAGAUGGAACGAGCAAUCGUUCGGACGGUACCUCCAGAAGCAGCCACGGCCAACUUCGUGCCAGCAGCCGCGGUAAAG